CAAAAACUUCUGCUGCCUGAUGCCACACCCCGAGAUCCUGAUCUAACUGCUCUGAGGUGAGAAACUGGUGCUCUCAGAGAGCGUAUGAGUGGCCCAAUGUCACACUACCUCUGGGUGUGUGCAUGUGGAGCCAGGAUUUGAUCCUGGGCAGAUCAAACCCCAAGUGCCACCAGGUGCAGUCGAUCACAUGCUGACCCCCCACUUUACUGAUGAGAAAACUGAGACCUAGAGAGGUUGAGUAACCUGUCCAAGACACCUGGAUGAUAAGCCGGACCCAGCCAACAAGCCCAGCCAGCUUGAUGCCAGAAUCCUCUUACCUGACCUCUGUGCCUGCCAUCCCAGCUGCUAGAGUGGAGAGCCGGCCUUUCCUCGCUGCAGGAUGGACCCUAGGCCUCUCUCUGGGUUUCCAGAUCCUGCUCUGAAGAGCCGGCCUUUCCUCGCUGCAGGAUGGACCCUAGGCGUCUCUCUGGGUUUCCAGAUCCUGCUCUGGAGAGCCGGCCUUUCCUCGCUGCAGGAUGGACCCUAGGCGUCUCUCUGGGUUUCCAGAUCCUGCUCUGGAGAGCCGGCCUUUCCUCGCUGCAGGAUGGACCCUAGGCGUCUCUCUGGGUUUCCAGAUCCUGCUCUGGAGAGCCGGCCUUUCCUCGCUGCAGGAUGGACCCUAGGCCUCUCUCUGGGUUUCCAGAUCCUGCUCUGGAGAGCCGGCCUUUCCUCGCUGCAGGAUGGACCCUAGGCGUCUCUCUGGGUUUCCAGAUCCUGCUCUGAAGAUGAGGAGAUGACAUUUAGCACCAGCCUUCUCUAACUGGCUCUAAGAGGAAUCGGUGUUCCCUGGUGGUUCAGGAGUCAAAAGGGCCAACUGUAGCUUUAUUCCUCUUUCAAAGGAAAUAAAGCAGAGGUCCUAUUUGGGGAUAGGCCCUAUGCCUGAGUUACUUUGGCACUUAAUUGCUAUUAUUUAAUUGCUGUAUUGGGGAGCACAAAGUGAUCUACUGCAAAGUUAUUAGCAAAUUCUAGUUUUAAGGAAAUAAUUACUGAAUUCUCCCUCCCUGGGUUGAGUAAUUCCUUCCAAGAUGCUCAGCGACAUUAAGCAU
Molecule: long non-coding RNA, 1085 nt
Filed under: Homo sapiens (human)
Lineage: Eukaryota; Metazoa; Chordata; Mammalia; Primates; Hominidae
Description: HSALNT0382077
Source: RNAcentral